RNAcentral lists this long non-coding RNA (994 nucleotides) under Rattus norvegicus (Norway rat). RNAcentral describes it as "long non-coding RNA NONRATT027751". The record is from RNAcentral. Lineage: Eukaryota; Metazoa; Chordata; Mammalia; Rodentia; Muridae.
GGGGGCUGCCCUCCUCCAAUCCAGUUCCCUCUCCAGCGCUGUUCACAUCUGGAGCCCCCUCCACAUCUGGAAGACCCUGAUCACCGUCCCUCUGCUGGUUCGGCUGCAUCUAAAGACCUCUGCCUUUGUAACUGCCUAGGAGUUGCGAGGGGAUUGCUGCCUUCCCCCAUCCCAAGGGCAUCUCUUACCCUUAGUCCUUGCAGAAUCAUCCCCCUGCCUCCGCAUCCAGAUUCAGGCAAAGAUCAGCUCUGUACACCAUUGGCACUUCAAGUCCUGGAAGCUGUUCUUGGGCCCAAGGCCCCUCCCCUUGCCCUCCUGUGUCCUCACCUUGACCCCCCCACCCCCGUCAGAUUCUGUCUCCCUCUGGGUGCUCCAUCCCCCACCCAGAGGCGAGUAGGUGGAGUGGCAGGCAGCAGGGGCUGGGUGAGGGCCGCCCAAGGCCAGGGUAGGCUGGGGGGCCGUUAAGAUGUGGAGCUCUGCCCGUCCGAGGGGGGCUCCGUGGAGGCAGACGAAGUGUGUGCCCCGCUGGGGCGAGUAUGGGCAGGCUUGCGGCCACGUGGUGAAGGAUGAACAUUCGGGGUGCCCCGGACCUCGGGCAGCCCAGUGACGACCCCAACAGUGGUGGAGAAAGAGAGCGGAUUCGACAGCGCAUGAAGAUGGUCAUCGGGCAACUUGAAGGCAUCCUGAGGGAACUCAAAGAAGUGGCUAAGGAGCUGAGGGAGGUUCCCCAAUACUCAGGAUGCCAGGCCCAUCCCAGCAGGUUCCCUAAACUCCUCAGAUUCCAUGGAUCUUCUUUAGAGACAGACCAUCCCAAGGGACAAAGAGCACAGGCCAGGUGGCUAGAGUUCCGGUUCAGUCCUCAGAGCUCCACCUCCUGAACUUUGUGAGCUUGGGAAAGUUACUUUGUUUCUCUGCUUCUGCCCGCCCAUCCUUAAAAGGAAGAUACCAAAGGUUUCUAUUCUCCCUUAUAUAAAUCACAUAAAACAGACACAAA